GUGGGCAUCAUUUAGAAUUAUGUAGUUACUGUUGGUAUAUACUGGUAGUUAUAAAUCAGAGUAUUUUUGUGCUUAUUUGUAGGAUAUUCCUCUUCUGUAUGGUGCCUUACUGAGUUAGACUCAGGCUUAGUAUGUGCAGAUGAAAUCAUAGAUCAGUGACCUCUACUGCUGCCAAAAACUAUUACGCUGAGGGUAUUUAAUUGGAAGGAGGUCUUUCACUGGAAUUAAUACAAAUGUAAACUGUACUGAGAGCAAUAGGCAGAAUGAAUGUUAUUCCAGAGGCAUUAAAGAAUUAUCAAAUUUGAAGGAAAAAGUUGUUCACCAUUCAGCUGACAGGCUUGGAACAUAUAGAAUCAGAGAUACAAUAAAUGAUGAUGCAUCCGGUAAGCAUAUUGUAUGGGACCUAAAGCAAAGUAACAUGGGAAGAUAAGGAGGUGUUAGAAUUUGAGAAUGAAGCCCUAAAAGAUGAUAAUAAACAGGUUCAUGUGGUAAUGGCAAUGUGUGUGUGCGUGUGUGUGUUUGUGAUAUGGAAUAUGGAAUAAGAAACUUAUUGCUUGAUUCAUUCUUGAAUUUGAGCCUUUGUAAUUUGUUAAAGAGAAACUGAGAGUGUAUAUAAGCUUAAUAUAGAAUUUACUUCAUGCCAACAACUUAGAUCUUGAGCUUUGAAUUUUAGAGAAAUAGUUUUGUGUUAUUAUCUGAAAUUUAUGAUCCUAUGAAUAAUUUAAAAUAAAAAUGGAAUGAAAUUAUUCUCAUGUAUCAAAAUAGGUACCUUGAAGUGAUUAUAAAAUGAGUGGUAUGGGGCCAUAUGAAAAACACUACACUUGAUGGAAGAGCAGAAUGGAGUAAGAAAGACAAUGGUUGAUUUUGCCUAGUCAUGAUUUUAACCUGUUAGAACUUGAGGUCUAGCAACUCUAAGAUAGCAGAAGUUGAUAUAAGAAGUAACAAACCCAGGAAAGCCACAGUGGAGGCAGAUGCUGCAAAAGCAUUGCAGUGAACAAACAUAUUUCAAAAGAGGGCACUGCCCUUUACUCUUUGUUGUAUGUUGCAAGCAUCCACGUAAUUCUAAACAAGUGGGAGUAACAGAAAAAUACAGUCGUUUGCUUGCUUUUGUCAGCUUUUUUCUCCCCAUUAAUUCUUUCUAAGAUGCACAUCUGAACUUUACAUCAGGUCAUUGCUCAGCUAAAGCAAGAGCUUCUUGUAAUAAUGAUGCCUUGAUUUGCCCUUUGCACCAUUCUUAAUGAGCAAUUACUCACAGGGAUUUUUCUGGGAAAGACAGAGCAAAGGGACUUGGGGAAUAUUGGUAAGUGAAGCUUUAUCAGUGGAAUAACACUUUUAUGUAACUAAAAAUACAUUAACAAGUAUUAUAGUCUUAAAACUAUGUCUCUGUUCCAUAAUGUCUGUUCUCUGCUGUUUUGUUUCAGUGUAUGGAAAUAAAUGGGGGAAAAAGGGAUAUUGUAUUUAGUUUUCCAGGGCUGCCAUGACAAAACACUACAAACUGUGCUGUAGUGUGUUUGUUUUUCACAAUUGUGGAAGCUAGAAAUCCGAGAUCAAAUUGCCAACAAGUUUGGUUUCUCCUGAGGCUUCUCUCUAUAGCUUGUACAUGGCCUUCCUCUUGCAACAUUUUCGCAUCGUCCUCCUGCUUUGCACUUUUGUCCUCAGUGUCUCUUCCUCUGCUUCUAAGGACACCAGCCAUAUUGGAUUAGUGCCCCACUCUAAUGGUCUCAUUUUAAUUCAGUCACCUCUUUAAAGGUCCUAUAUCUAAAUGUGGUUACAUUCUAGGAUACUGAGAGCUGGGACUUCAACAUAGAAUUUA
This is a long non-coding RNA of Felis catus (domestic cat), 1813 nucleotides long. RefSeq lists it as uncharacterized. NCBI's taxonomy places the organism in Eukaryota, Metazoa, Chordata, Mammalia, Carnivora, Felidae. The transcript has 3 exons. The record is from RefSeq and is a predicted model, not a curated record.